UCCCUGAUGGUCCAGUGGUUGGGACUCUGUGCUUCCACUGCCGGGGCACUGGUUCAAUCCCUGGUCGGGGAA
Molecule: transfer RNA, 72 nt
Filed under: Bos taurus (domestic cattle)
Lineage: Eukaryota; Metazoa; Chordata; Mammalia; Artiodactyla; Bovidae
Rfam family: tRNA
About the family: Transfer RNA (tRNA) molecules are approximately 80 nucleotides in length. Their secondary structure includes four short double-helical elements and three loops (D, anti-codon, and T loops).
Source: Rfam by way of RNAcentral